Molecule: small RNA, 76 nt
Filed under: Xanthomonas vesicatoria
Lineage: Bacteria; Pseudomonadati; Pseudomonadota; Gammaproteobacteria; Lysobacterales; Lysobacteraceae
Description: sX9
Rfam family: Xanthomonas sRNA sX9
Source: RNAcentral
GUGUGCCACUCUUACACUCCGGCUCCGAGUGCGCUGUUCGCAACUACACGACGGCUGCUCGCUGCAUGUUUUGCGC